Molecule: small RNA, 728 nt
Filed under: Pongo abelii (Sumatran orangutan)
Lineage: Eukaryota; Metazoa; Chordata; Mammalia; Primates; Hominidae
Description: processed transcript
Source: RNAcentral
GUAGAAUAUCUUUUAAAAAAAAAAACCCUGAUGUUCCUUUUUCUUUUUUUCCCCUUUAAUAAAUAGGAGGAUCGUUUAAAAAUUGAUGUAAUUGACUGGUUGGUAUUUGACCCAGCGCAGAGGGCAGAAGCACUGAAACAAGGCAAUGCAAUUAUGAGAAAAUUCUUGGGUAUGAUAUAUUUUUAUGCAUCUUCAAACUCCUGGGCUCCAUUCUUCUUCCUACCUCAGCCUCCCAACUACUCGGGAGGCUGAGGCAGGAGAAUCGCGUGAACCCGGGAGGCGGAGCUUGCAGUGAGCCGAGAUCGCGCCACUGCACUCCAGCCUGAGCGACAAAGCGAGACUCCGUCUCAAAAAAAAAAAAAAAAGUGGAAAUAUCCCUAGUGGAAAUAAUCCGUCUGUUUUACAUAUUUACGGGCUAUUUCAAAGCUUUUGUUCAUUCAGAUGAGAAAAAUGUCUUCAGUUGUAGCAGAGCUGUUUAUUUGCUUUUCCUUGUAGCAAUUUGCUGGGUCUGUCAGCCAUUACCCUGGAUAGUUGCUGGCAGCCCACCCGCUAGUAUCGGAAUUCAUUAUAAUUAGCAGAACAGAUUGCCUGCAGCACACUGAUAUUAUGGCAGCAACAGGAUUUAGGAAAAGCAAGUCUGGGUCCAUCCUGUGGGAUAAGAAAGUAACCUGCUGCUUUUCAGGCAACAAGGAGUCAGAAGCCAGGGGCACCCGGCCUCUUUAACAUAG